Molecule: ribosomal RNA, 1403 nt
Filed under: Chryseobacterium daecheongense
Lineage: Bacteria; Pseudomonadati; Bacteroidota; Flavobacteriia; Flavobacteriales; Weeksellaceae
Description: 16S ribosomal RNA
Rfam family: Bacterial small subunit ribosomal RNA
Source: RNAcentral
ACACAUGCAAGCCGAGCGGUAUGAUUCUUUCGGGAAUCAGAGAGCGGCGUACGGGUGCGGAACACGUGUGCAACCUGCCUUUAUCUGGGGGAUAGCCUUUCGAAAGGAAGAUUAAUACCCCAUAAUAUAUUGAGUGGCAUCACUUAAUAUUGAAAACUCCGGUGGAUAGAGAUGGGCACGCGCAAGAUUAGAUAGUUGGUGGGGUAACGGCCUACCAAGUCGAUGAUCUUUAGGGGGCCUGAGAGGGUGAUCCCCCACACUGGUACUGAGACACGGACCAGACUCCUACGGGAGGCAGCAGUGAGGAAUAUUGGACAAUGGGUGCAAGCCUGAUCCAGCCAUCCCGCGUGAAGGACGACGGCCCUAUGGGUUGUAAACUUCUUUUGUACAGGGAUAAACCUAGAUACGUGUAUCUAGCUGAAGGUACUGUACGAAUAAGCACCGGCUAACUCCGUGCCAGCAGCCGCGGUAAUACGGAGGGUGCAAGCGUUAUCCGGAUUUAUUGGGUUUAAAGGGUCCGUAGGCGGAUCAGUAAGUCAGUGGUGCCCUCUCAUAGCUUAACUAUGAAACUGCCAUUGAUACUGCUGGUCUUGAGUAAGGUAGAAGUAGCUGGAAUAAGUAGUGUAGCGGUGAAAUGCAUAGAUAUUACUUAGAACACCAAUUGCGAAGGCAGGUUACUAUGUCUUAACUGACGCUGAUGGACGAAAGCGUGGGGAGCGAACAGGAUUAGAUACCCUGGUAGUCCACGCUGUAAACGAUGCUAACUCGUUUUUGGGUUUUCGGAUUCAGAGACUAAGCGAAAGUGAUAAGUUAGCCACCUGGGGGAGUACGAACGCAAGUUUGAAACUCAAAGGAAUUGACGGGGGCCCGCACAAGCGGUGGAUUAUGUGGUUUAAUUCGAUGAUACGCGAGGAACCUUACCAAGGCUUAAAUGGGAAUUGAUCGGUUUAGAAAUAGACCUUCCUUCGGGCAAUUUUCAAGGUGCUGCAUGGUUGUCGUCAGCUCGUGCCGUGAGGUGUUAGGUUAAGUCCUGCAACGAGCGCAACCCCUGUCACUAGUUGCCAUCAUUAAGUUGGGGACUCUAGUGAGACUGCCUACGCAAGUAGAGAGGAAGGUGGGGAUGACGUCAAAUCAUCACGGCCCUUACGCCUUGGGCCACACACGUAAUACAAUGGCCGGUACAGAGGGCAGCUACACAGCGAUGUGAUGCAAAUCUCGAAAGCCGGUCUCAGUUCGGAUUGGAGUCUGCAACUCGACUCUAUGAAGCUGGAAUCGCUAGUAAUCGCGCAUCAGCCAUGGCGCGGUGAAUACGUUCCCGGGCCUUGUACACACCGCCCGUCAAGCCAUGGAAGUCUGGGGUACCUGAAGUCGGUGACCGUAAAAGGAGCUGCCUAGGGUAAGAC